GACGAACGCUGGCGGCGUGCUUAACACAUGCAAGUCGAACGGAAAGGCCCUGCUCUUGUGGGGUGCUCGAGUGGCGAACGGGUGAGUAACACGUGAGUAACCUGCCCUUGACUUUGGGAUAACUUCAGGAAACUGGGGCUAAUACCGGAUAGGAGCUCCUGCUGCAUGGUGGGGGUUGGAAAGUUUCGGCGGUUGGGGAUGGACUCGCGGCUUAUCCGCUUGUUGGUGGGGUAGUGGCUUACCAAGGCUUUGACGGGUAGCCGGCCUGAGAGGGUGACCGGCCACAUGGGGACUGCGAUACGGCCCAGUCUCCUACGGGCGGCAGCAGUGGGGAAUAUUGCACAAUGGGCGGAAGCCUGAUGCAGCAACGCCGCGUGCGGGAUGACGGCCUUCGGGUUGUAAACCGCUUUCGCCUGUGACGAAGCGUGAGUGACGGUAAUGGGUAAAGAAGCACCGGCUAACUACGUG
Molecule: ribosomal RNA, 468 nt
Filed under: uncultured bacterium
Lineage: Bacteria
Description: partial 16S ribosomal RNA
Rfam family: Bacterial small subunit ribosomal RNA
Source: RNAcentral